GGCCGGGGUGGCCUGACCCUCAGACACUUCCCAUGAGGCAAUGUGUGUCCGUUUGCAUGUGUGCCCGUGCAUGUGUGUUCACACGUGUAUGUGCAUACAUGUGCACACAUGUAUAGUGUGCAUGCACGUAUACACGUGCAUGCACACGCAUUUGUGUUUGUGUGUGCAUGUGUGCCUAUACUCAUGCGUGUGUGUGUGUGUGUGUUGGGCAUGUUCAAGGCCUCUGCCUGUAUUGUGUCAUGACACCAGCCAGGAGUAAAAUGUUUAACUGCCAGCUGUGUGAUCUUCAUCACAAACGCUAUCUGACUGGUUUUUUAAAUGAAAUGAUUACUUAAUUGAAUUUCAGUCAAAAAUUCAACUGUGUGGUUGAGAUUUGCCACUCCCUCUCACAAAGGAAAGAUAUCUGAGACCCUGGGAGGGCCUGUUGAUCGAUCUAAGUAAACAUGCCUGGUUUGGUGGCUACUUCAUUUGUUACCUUAAUUAAAAUAUUCCCUUAAAAAUAAACAAUCUUUAUGUUUAAAAUAAUAACUUACAAACUCAGCAUUAAGCCACGUAACAACGCUAAAACGUGUUUUGUUUAAUUCUGGUACUUUGUCAUAAUCACGAACUCCCAUCUGGCCUCCACCAGGCCCAGGCGUUCAUUAUUAUUCUGAGAAGCAGAGUAAGACCAUUUUAAGAAAGUUCCAGGGAGUGACAUUAUUUUCUAAGGAGCACAAGGAAUCAAUUUUAAACAACUAAAACUUAUAGAAAGUGGAAUGGACGUGCAUGAGAAGUGAGUGCCUCGAAGCAGGUGCCCGUCAAGCAGGGCAAGAGAGGUCCCUUAUUCUGAAGGAAGCUCAGUAGCUUCCAUAAUUCCCCACUCAUUUCCCUGAGUGCUGAUCUUUGGAACAAUGGAAGUUUAGGGAGACUUGAUUUAAUUUCCUCUAACAAACUCUAAAAAAUAAAACCCUGGUAUCCCACAUUAUUAUAUCAGCCUCUUUAAAGUGGAGUUAACAAUAUUCGUGGAUUUAGAAAUGCUUGCAUCUUUCAAACUCUCACCUAGUCUGUUGGUCACAUAGAAGUUCGCCAGGGGAAAAGCAGCUGUCUGCGCACCCCAGAUGCUCCCUGCUACCCUGGCCAGAUGACCACACAGGUGGCCCCAUGCUCCGGCUGGCUCCUGCGCCAGCCUAACCCUAACACCCCCACCUCAUUCUCCCCAUCACCACCACCACCACCACCACCUCCUCCUUUGCCUCUGUUCUAUCCCAAGAAAUUUCUGAAACUUUAGAGAGGUCACUGAUUUUGAUUGCAAAUUUAAAAGAUUCAUAAGGCAUAUAAAAUUUUAAGCUGUGCAAAUCACGUAAGAUGGAACAUUUCAGAAAACAAGAAGGAUUCGGGACAGUCUGACAUCUUGUGUCCAUGCAUUUUGCUCUGUGGAGGUGGUCCCUGCCCAGUGGCCCUCCCGCCGUGUGCCCACCCACCCAGGGUACACUGGCCUAGCCACCUAUGCUGUGUAGGUUCAGUGGCGGGUGGGGGUGGGGGAGUCCAGCCUCGCAGCUGUCUAUGAGAUCUCUGCUCCGGGAGUGCGGAGCGUCCCUGCUCAGGAAGCAGAAAACACCUGGCAAUUCCUUCUUGAUUUGACUUAGGUAGAUGAUGAAAAGCAUCUUAAAAGCCACUUUUGGGCAGCCCAGGUGGCUCAGAGGUUUAGGGCCGCCUUCAGCCCAGGGCCUGAUCCCGGAGACCCGGGAUUGAGUCCCACAUCGGGCUCCCUGUGUGGAGUCUGCUUCUCCCUCUGCCUCUCUCUCUCUCUCUGUCUCUCAUGAAUAAAUAAAUAAAAAAAAUUUUAAAAAGCCACUUUCACUGCCGCUUAUCACAUUUUCUGCAUAAGGUUGAUGGCCAGUGGGCUGGUGGCGCAGGGGCAUGAGAGGGGCCAGGCUGCGAGGACCAGCGGUGGGACCAGUUGGGCCAUGCCCUCAGCCUGGCUGAGUCCAGAGGCUGAAUAUGGGCCAAUAUCUGAAGAGCACUCUGGAUGAGCGCCUACUAAACCGGCUAUGAAUCAUCCUCUUUGCUCAGGUAGCAUCAACAUAACAAGGAGGAAACACUGGCCCGUUGCCUCUGAUCAGAUCCCCCAUGUUCCACAGUAAUCGCCCAAGCAUCGGCACGAUGGAUUUGCCACCUCCGUGGGUCAAGUGCUGACCGGUGACGGGUCUCCACUCGU
This 2197-nucleotide long non-coding RNA is filed under the name Canis lupus familiaris (dog). Its description in RNAcentral is "lncRNA (ENSCAFG00000055244.1)". The record is from RNAcentral. Lineage: Eukaryota; Metazoa; Chordata; Mammalia; Carnivora; Canidae.